Molecule: microRNA precursor, 68 nt
Filed under: Nematostella vectensis (starlet sea anemone)
Lineage: Eukaryota; Metazoa; Cnidaria; Anthozoa; Actiniaria; Edwardsiidae
Description: mir-9437 microRNA precursor family
Rfam family: mir-9437 microRNA precursor family
Source: Rfam by way of RNAcentral
CCUUAACGAGAAUCUGAUACGGUUCCAGUCAGACCGGAGGGGAGAGACGCUAAUACUGCUUCGCAACC